UCCGUAGGUGAACCUGCGGAAGGAUCAUUAUUGAAUG
Molecule: ribosomal RNA, 37 nt
Filed under: Rhizoctonia sp. VJ15
Lineage: Eukaryota; Fungi; Basidiomycota; Agaricomycetes; Cantharellales; Ceratobasidiaceae
Also listed under: 3 other names
Description: partial 18S ribosomal RNA
Source: RNAcentral